AACGAACGCUGGCGGCAGGCCUAACACAUGCAAGUCGAACGCCCUAGCAAUAGGGAGUGGCAGACGGGUGAGUAACACGUGGGAACCUUCCCUAUAGUACGGAAUAUACCAGGGAAACUUGGAGCAAUACCGUAUACGCCCGAGAGGGGAAAGAUUUAUCGCUAUAGGAUGGGCCCGCGUAGGAUUAGCUAGUUGGUGAGGUAAUGGCUCACCAAGGCGACGAUCCUUAGCUGGUUUGAGAGAACGACCAGCCACACUGGGACUGAGACACGGCCCAGACUCCUACGGGAGGCAGCAGUGGGGAAUAUUGGACAAUGGGCGCAAGCCUGAUCCAGCCAUGCCGCGUGAGUGAUGAAGGCCUUAGGGUUGUAAAGCUCUUUUGCCGGGGACGAUAAUGACGGUACCCGGAGAAUAAGUCCCGGCUAACUUCGUGCCAGCCGCCGCAGUAAU
RNAcentral lists this ribosomal RNA (450 nucleotides) under uncultured bacterium. RNAcentral's name for it is "bacterial SSU rRNA". It matches the Rfam family "Bacterial small subunit ribosomal RNA", at positions 29 to 524 of the family's 1533-position model. The record is from RNAcentral.